This 764-nucleotide ribosomal RNA is filed under the name uncultured bacterium. RNAcentral's name for it is "bacterial SSU rRNA". It matches the Rfam family "Bacterial small subunit ribosomal RNA", at positions 60 to 773 of the family's 1533-position model. The record is from RNAcentral.
AGUCGACGAGAAGCCCAUUGAUGUUUAUUGAAGUUUGGAGUGCUUGCACAAAAAAUGGAUUUAGAUGGAUUUGGAUUUUCCUUCUAGUGGCAAACGGGUGAGUAACACGUGGGUUACCUACCUCUAAGCUGGGGAUAACAGUUGGAAACGACUGAUAAUACCGAAUGUGCUCUACGGAGUAAAGAAGCCCUUAAAGCUUCACUUAGAGAUGGGCCUGCGGCGUAUUAGCUAGUUGGUGGGGUAAUGGCCUACCAAGGCAACGAUGCGUAGCCGAACUGAGAGGUUGAUCGGCCACACUGGGACUGAGACACGGCCCAGACUCCUACGGGAGACAGCAGUUAGGAAUAUUCGUCAAUGGGGGAAACCCUGAACGAGCAAUGCCGCGUGAACGAUGACGGCCCUAUGGGUUGUAAAGUUCUGUUGUUUGGAAAGAAUUGUAAGAUUAGGAAAUGAGUCUUACUUGACGGUACCAUUCAAGAAAGCCACGGCUAACUACGUGCCAGCAGCCGCGGUAAUACGUAGGUGGCGAGCGUUAUCCGGAUUUAUUGGGCGUAAAGGGUGCGCAGACGGUUUAUUAAGUCUAAAAUUAAAUCUUGGAGCUUAACUCCAUUCCGUUUUAGAAACUGGUAGACUUGAGUAUGGUAGAGGCAAAUGGAAUUCCUAGUGUAGCGGUGGAAUGCGUAGAUAUUAGGAGGAACACCAGUGGCAAAGGCGAUUUGCUGGGCCAUUACUGACGUUCAGGCACGAAAGCGUGGGGAGCAAAU